This 3360-nucleotide long non-coding RNA is filed under the name Homo sapiens (human). Its description in RNAcentral is "PREDICTED lncRNA (TCONS_00190053)". The record is from RNAcentral. Lineage: Eukaryota; Metazoa; Chordata; Mammalia; Primates; Hominidae.
UGCCUUUUUACAGCUGGUUUAUUCAAGUCAAGAUCCAAAAAAGAUACGCACACAUGUUUAACUAGCAUAUUUCUUAAAUGUCUUUAAAUCUAUACCUAGAUCAGUGCCAUUUUUUCAUGUCAUUUAGCUGUUGAACGAACCAGGUACUGUGUCCUGCGGCAUAUCCUACCUUCUGGGUUUGACUGAUUGAAUCUUUGUGGAUGUCCCUCUGCCUCUGUCUUUCCUGAACUCUGGUAGUUGAGAUCAGGACUGGAGAUUUCUUAGGCAGGAAGAAUCCAUAGGUGGGUACUUCCUAUCGCACCUCGAAGGAGACACAAAGUGUCCAGCUGUCCCACUUUUACUGGUGUUAAACUUCAUCCACCAGAUAGUGCACCCAUUAUAAAAUUCUGUCCACUAAUGAUUUGUGCUGAGAUCCACUUCUCAUUAGGGGCUGCCAAGUAGUGCUUUUCUAUCAUUCUUUCUGCACUUGUUAGCCGAAGGUUCUCUGUCGUGAAGAUAUUUCCCUUGUCAACUAUUUGGCUUGGAUGGAAAGGCUGGAUCAAUGUUUGAUUCUUUAUUUUUCAUCUUCAUAAUAAUGAGCUAGCUCCUCGGCACCCCGGGGGAAGUUGUCUUCAAAUGCUGCCUUGAAGCAUAGAAUAUUUAAUUCUAAUGGAUAUGGGAGGGAAGGGCCUUCCAAGCCGAGGGAAGAGCUUGAGCAAAGGCUCAGAGGCAGGAGAAUGCAGGGUGUUUAGAGAACAGCAGAGCUCCGUAGCACGUGCAACAAGAGGCUUUUUGAGUGAGGACCCUGAGCACGAUAUGGUGGGAAAGCAGGGGAGAGGUCAGGAUUGCUGGUUUGACUCCCAGCCAUGGGCAAAAGGUUCUCCCCUUGUCUAUACAAUGAGGACAUCUCUCUAGAUCAGUGGCUUUCCAACGUUUCUGGCCCCAGUUCACUUUAAUAAAUACAUUUUAUACUCUGACCCAGUAAGUGCAUCUGUGUGUAUAAAAACCAACAGAAAUUUCAAAAAGAACUCAGUUGACUUUUACAUACAAUGUAUGUGGGUCUAUUCUAUUCUAUUUCAUUCAGUGUCAUCCUGUUGAAAUAAAUGUUGGUUAUGACCACUGAAUUGAACUCAGUCUCACAGAUUGUCGGCAACCUUAGUCUGGGUGGCUCCUGGGGCUCUAUUUCCACUCCAGCCCUUUCUGGUUGAUCCCUGGUCUUGGUGACAACCUGACGCAGCACCAGGCUCUGGAGAAGAGGGACAACAUGAGAAGAGAAGCUGAUCACUUGCAGGAGGCUCCUGAGCUGAACAUGAGGCAAAAGCCAGGCCAAACUCAGAGGCUGUGGCCCCAGCCAGGCCACCCUCACCUUCAGAGUCUUGACCCCCCAGACCACACUACCGGACACCUGCUGGCCCUGUUUCCACAACAGACUGGCUCAGCCACACCCAGGCCCACAGGGCUCAGAGGCCUGCUCCCUGUUGAUCGUGUCAACUUUGAAAGGCCUUCAAGUUUAUCCCUAAACAAAGCCCUCCAGUUUAGCCCUAAAGAGCCAGGUGUUAACCUAACAGGAAGCAAUUUGGAAGGUCAAAGUCAAGUAGACGGAGAAGAGUGUUGAGAGUCCUGGGGUGACAACACCUGGGUCCCCUGCUCACCUGAGCCACAGACUCGCCAGGUAACUGGGCCAGCGUCCCUCCUGCCCACGCCUUGCUUGCCGCACUCUUAAAGAAGAUGCAUCCCCUUCUCUUGGAGGGAAUGACAAUGACCAGAUCACAACUGAGCUGAGCAAUUUGGGGAAAUUUGGGCAGGGGGUAGAGUUGGCAGAACUGGUUUGUAAACAGGGCUCUGGAAGACCUUCCUCUAACUGUGGGGAGUGGGGGAGGGGUUUCUCUCCCUCUUAGGCACUCUCUUCUCUGCUGUUUUCUCUAUUUCUCUCUUCGCUGUCACUCCCAUUACCGUCCUCAUCUUAUCUCCCCCUUUUCUCUCCUUCUCUCUCUCUCUGUUUAAUAACAGCUUUAUUGAGAGAUAAUUUACAGGAUGUGAGAUUUACCCUUUUGUACAAUUCACCAUGUGUACAUUUCAGUGUUGUUCAGUGUAUUCACAGGGUUGCAGAACCAUCACUGCUGUCUUAUUUUAUUUUUUUGGCACUUUUUGGUAGAGACAGGGUUUUGCCACGUUGGCCAGGCUAGUCUCAAACUCCUGACCUCAAAUGAUCUGCCCGCCUCGGCCUCCCAAAGUGCUGGGAUUACAGGCAGCUGCUCCCAACCCCAGAACCUUUGCUGUCUUGGGACGGAUCACCGCUGCAAGAGGGGAAGUUGCUACUGUGAUGAAUUCUGCCAUGUGGCACCAGACUGCCACCCAGACCACAGUGUCCUCUGCAACCCUGGUCAAAGGUGCCUACAUGCUCCUUCUAGCUUUGUUUCCCUGAUGUUCCUUGCCACCUGCUACUCCUCUCUGAGCUACUUUUCCAGGUUCCACAGGGAGAGGUUCAGCUGUCCGUGGUAGACAUGAGGCUUCUCAGAUGACCAAGAUGGUGCUGCAGAUGGUGCUGAGGAUGGAGAACCCACCAAGCCCCGCUAGGAGCCACCUAGACUGGAUGCAGAGCAUGAGAAGGCUUCCAAUGACUCGAGCCCCUUUAAAGGAUCCGGAACAAAGGGGCCACUCACCCCUUCCAGGGUGCUCUGUUUUCUUUGUGGAGUUUCAAGAGUGAUGGGCGGAUUCUUCUUAGGUCUAAAGCUCUGCUGUCUUCCUGUACGGCAUGACCUGACCUCUUUGGCUUUGGGGGAACCAGAGAUGACCCUGCACUGUGAGAGGAUUUGACCUUGGCGUGUGUAAUGGCAGACGAGAACUACAAAGAAGGGGUGGCUGAGCACAGUUUACAGGGAAUGGUCUUGGCUGUUUUUUUGUUUUUUUUUUUUUCUCUUCUAGGAAGCUGUGAUUUAAGGAUCCUAAUUCUAGUUCAGAGAUGCAUCCUAAAGGGUCUUCUCUAUUGCUUUUUCUCCCAAAAUGAAUCUCAGUUUGGGUUGUCUAUGUAUUUGCAUGAGGAACUGAACUGUUGUUGUCAUAGGUAAAUGAGAGAUUGAGUUUUCUCAGCUCCAAAGAGAAAGGGCGUUUGCUCCUCCCAGCCGAGUACUCCAUAGGGUUCAUGGCGCCUCUACUUGCCAGAGUUUAUGUAAAGUGGAAGUAAUAUGGUCUUUCUGCACAUUUACAUUAAAAAAAAAGGAGCCCUGAGGUUGACCUGCAAACUGUAGAGUUCCUGAGUCCUCUUUUUUCUCUAGUUUCUUCUCUGCCUGCUUUAAAUUUGCUGUUAUUUUUCUAUUAAGAUAAAAAACACUGUUUGGAUCAGAUAGUUUUUCUGUUUGUAAACUGGUGAAUUUGUAUUUA